CCUACGGGUGGCUGCAGUGGGGAAUAUUGCACAAUGGGCGCAAGCCUGAUGCAGCCAUGCCGCGUGUGUGAAGAAGGCCUUCGGGUUGUAAAGCACUUUCAGCGGGGAGGAAGGCGUUAAGGUUAAUAACCUUGUCGAUUGACGUUACCCGCAGAAGAAGCACCGGCUAACUCCGUGCCUGCAGCCGCGGUAAUACGGAGGGUGCAAGCGUUAAUCGGAAUUACUGGGCGUAAAGCGCACGCAGGCGGUCUGUCAAGUCGGAUGUGAAAUCCCCGGGCUCAACCUGGGAACUGCAUUCGAAACUGGCAGGCUAGAGUCUUGUAGAGGGGGGUAGAAUUCCAGGUGUAGCGGUGAAAUGCGUAGAGAUCUGGAGGAAUACCGGUGGCGAAGGCGGCCCCCUGGACAAAGACUGACGCUCAGGUGCGAAAGCGUGGGGAGCAAACAGGAUUAGAUACCCUAGUAGUC
RNAcentral lists this ribosomal RNA (465 nucleotides) under uncultured Klebsiella sp. Its description in RNAcentral is "bacterial SSU rRNA". It matches the Rfam family "Bacterial small subunit ribosomal RNA", at positions 338 to 795 of the family's 1533-position model. The record is from RNAcentral. Lineage: Bacteria; Pseudomonadati; Pseudomonadota; Gammaproteobacteria; Enterobacterales; Enterobacteriaceae.